Molecule: ribosomal RNA, 515 nt
Filed under: uncultured bacterium
Lineage: Bacteria
Description: partial 16S ribosomal RNA
Source: RNAcentral
GGAGUUAGCCGGUGCUUCUUCUGUGAGUGAUGUCCUUCCUGCCGGUUAUUGACCCGCAGGCCUUCUUCCUCACUGAAAGUGCUUUACAACCCGAAGGCCUUCUUCACACACGCGGCAUGGCUGGAUCAGGGUUGCCCCCAUUGUCCAAUAUUCCCCACUGCUGCCUCCCGUAGGAGUCUGGGCCGUGUCUCAGUCCCAGUGUGGCUGAUCAUCCUCUCAGACCAGCUACGGAUCGUCGCCUUGGUGAGCCGUUACCUCACCAACCAGCUAAUCCGACAUAGGCUCAUCCGAUAGCGCGAGGCCCGAAGGUCCCCCGCUUUCCCCCGUAGGGCGUAUGCGGUAUUAGCCUGGGUUUCCCCCAGGUUAUCCCCCACUACCCGGGCAGAUUCCUAUGCAUUACUCACCCGUCCGCCGCUCGCCACCAGGGAGCAAGCUCCCCGUGCUGCCGCUCGACUUGCANGUGUAGUCGUCGCGCCACGCGUCUAUACUCGAACCGAACGAUACAACUUACUCGA